UACGUAGGCGGCGAGCGUUGUUCGGAGUUACUGGGCGUAAAGGGUGUGUAGGCGGUUGUUUAAGUUUGGUGUGAAAUCUCCCGGCUCAACUGGGAGGGUGCGCCGAAUACUGAAUGACUUGGAGUGCGGGAGAGGAAAGUGGAAUUCCUGAUGUAGCGGUGAAAUGCGUAGAUAUCAGGAGGAACACCGGUGGUGUAGACGGCUUUCUGGACCGUAACUGACGCUGAGACACGAAAGCGUGGGUAGCAAACAGG
Molecule: ribosomal RNA, 254 nt
Filed under: uncultured bacterium
Lineage: Bacteria
Description: partial 16S ribosomal RNA
Rfam family: Bacterial small subunit ribosomal RNA
Source: RNAcentral